AACAGCAAUAAUUGUUUACCAGAAGGUGUUAAUCCUACAAAUCCGGCAUCUAAUCAUCAGCAGUUUUUAAUAAGCUUACUGGCUAUUUUAAACAUUUUCUGGCUAUUUUAAACAUUUUCUUUAAAAAAAUAUAUAUAUCAAAUACAUUGAGCAUGUGUAAAAUUUGAACAAGUCCCUCAUACACAUAAAACAAAAUCUGAUCCAGUUUUCUGUUCACACUUUAAACCCAGGAUUGACUUUCCCAGUAUUUUCCCAGCACACGUGCACAACCCCAUCAUCAUCAACUGCAGAGAAAACAAGUGUAUAAAGCAAGUGUAGAGUGCGUGUGCGUACCUUUUUUUGCUCCAGUAAGGGCAGAGAGUCUAUGAGCAGAGUCAUCCAGAAGCUGUGUGGAGAGAUCUUUGCUGUCAUGAGGGAGAGCAGGAGCUUCACCGCCUCUGUGAACUUCUUCUCUUCAUACACUCAUGGUACUUUAUUGUCAAAUGACAAAGCGCGGUGAUGCACAGUGGGAGCCUAUCUUCCCGAGCGGGAAUGGCACCAGCAGUUGGAAGAAAAAUGGAAGAACACACUUAACUGACAAGUCCUUUGCUCUGUUGCGGGAUGAAGCGUGGAGAAAACUGGGUAACGGCGGACGGCAGAGAUAAAGGAGGUGGAUAACGCUUAGUACGUGAGGUAACCACGAAGGGAGUCAGAAUGGUAGCUACUCACAUAGAGCCUGAUGAGACCAGAUAACAAGUAUGUGAUAUCAGUGUGCUUAUGAAUAGUUCAUGAUUAGGGUGAUACAGGUGUGGCAGGUUAGUACUCAGGUGAUUGUGAACAGGUAAGUGGAGCUGAAGGACCUGGUGUUGACGGUAUGCUGGAUGAAUCUGUGACAGAACACCCCCCCCCCCCCCGCCUCAGGAAGUCUUUAUCACUCCCAGAAUCUGCCUCCU
This is a long non-coding RNA of Ictalurus punctatus (channel catfish), 932 nucleotides long. The record is from Ensembl. NCBI's taxonomy places the organism in Eukaryota, Metazoa, Chordata, Actinopteri, Siluriformes, Ictaluridae.